Molecule: ribosomal RNA, 423 nt
Filed under: uncultured bacterium
Lineage: Bacteria
Description: bacterial SSU rRNA
Rfam family: Bacterial small subunit ribosomal RNA
Source: RNAcentral
UGAGGAAUAUUGGUCAAUGGUCGAGAGACUGAACCAGCCAUGCCGCGUGCAGGAAGAAGGCCUUAUGGGUUGUAAACUGCUUUUGUACGGGAGAAAAAAGACAGUCGCGCAUUGUCAUUGAUAGUACCGUAAGAAUAAGGAUCGGCUAACUCCGUGCCAGCAGCCGCGGUAAUACGGAGGAUCCAAGCGUUAUCCGGAUUUAUUGGGUUUAAAGGGUGCGUAGGCGGAUUAUUAAGUCAGUGUUGAAAGACUAAAGCUCAACUUUAGAAGUGGCAUUGAUACUGGUAGUCUUGAGUACAGAUGAAGUGGGCGGAAUGUGUCAUGUAGCGGUGAAAUGCAUAGAUAUGACACAGAACACCGAUUGCGAAGGCAGCUCACUAAGUUGUAACUGACGCUGAGGCACGAAAGCGUGGGGAUCAAACA